UAGCUAGUUGGUGAGGUAAGGGCUCACCAAGGCGACGAUCCCUAGCUGGUCUGAGAGGAUGAUCAGCCACACUGGAACUGAGACACGGUCCAGACUCCUACGGGAGGCAGCAGUGGGGAAUAUUGCACAAUGGGCGCAAGCCUGAUGCAGCCAUGCCGCGUGUGUGAAGAAGGCCUUCGGGUUGUAAAGCACUUUCAGUCGUGAGGAAGGUGGUAGUGUUAAUAGCACUAUCAUUUGACGUUAGCGACAGAAGAAGCACCGGCUAACUCCGUGCCAGCAGCCGCGGUAAUACGGAGGGUGCGAGCGUUAAUCGGAAUUACUGGGCGUAAAGCGCAUGCAGGUGGUUUGUUAAGUCAGAUGUGAAAGCCCGGGGCUCAACCUCGGAAUUGCAUUUGAAACUGGCAGACUAGAGUACUGUAGAGGGGGGUAGAAUUUCAGGUGUAGCGGUGAAAUGCGUAGAGAUCUGAAGGAAUACCGGUGGCGAAGGCGGCCCCCUGGACAGAUACUGACACUCAGAUGCGAAAGCGUGGGGAGCAAACAGGAUUAGAUACCCUGGUAGUCCACGCCGUAAACGAUGUCUACUUGGAGGUUGUGGCCUUGAGCCGUGGCUUUCGGAGCUAACGCGUUAAGUAGACCGCCUGGGGAGUACGGUCGCAAGAUUAAAACUCAAAUGAAUUGACGGGGGCCCGCACAAGCGGUGGAGCAUGUGGUUUAAUUCGAUGCAACGCGAAGAACCUUACCUACUCUUGACAUCCAGAGAACUUUCCAGAGAUGGAUUGGUGCCUUCGGGAACUCUGAGACAGGUGCUGCAUGGCUGUCGUCAGCUCGUGUUGUGAAAUGUUGGGUUAAGUCCCGCAACGAGCGCAACCCUUAUCCUUGUUUGCCAGCGAGUAAUGUCGGGAACUCCAGGGAGACUGCCGGUGAUAAACCGGAGGAAGGUGGGGACGACGUCAAGUCAUCAUGGCCCUUACGAGUAGGGCUACACACGUGCUACAAUGGCGCAUACAGAGGGCAGCCAACUUGCGAAAGUGAGCGAAUCCCAAAAAGUGCGUCGUAGUCCGGAUUGGAGUCUGCAACUCGACUCCAUGAAGUCGGAAUCGCUAGUAAUCGUGGAUCAGAAUGCCACGGUGAAUACGUUCCCGGGCCUUGUACACACCGCCCGUCACACCAUGGGAGUGGGCUGCAAAAGAAGUAGGUAGUUUAACCUUCGGGGGGACGCUUACCACUUUGUGGUUCAUGACUGGGGUGAAGUCGUAACAAGGUAGCGCUAGGGGAACCUGGCGCUGGAUCACCUCCUUA
Molecule: ribosomal RNA, 1299 nt
Filed under: Vibrio parahaemolyticus
Lineage: Bacteria; Pseudomonadati; Pseudomonadota; Gammaproteobacteria; Vibrionales; Vibrionaceae
Description: bacterial SSU rRNA
Rfam family: Bacterial small subunit ribosomal RNA
Source: RNAcentral